Molecule: long non-coding RNA, 201 nt
Filed under: Nicotiana benthamiana
Lineage: Eukaryota; Viridiplantae; Streptophyta; Magnoliopsida; Solanales; Solanaceae
Description: long non-coding RNA (NBEN_LNC032731)
Source: RNAcentral
ACGCUGAUUUUAUGCUAGCAUAAUCGAUUAUUUCCUUGUGCAUAAUCGAUUAUCUUUCAGCGUUUAAAAAAACUUUGGCAACAGUCAGUGAAUAAUCGAUUAUGCUAUAUAGGAUAAUCGAUUAUUGACCUCUGCGGAGUUUCUAAUUUAAUCUGAAUAAAAAGGAUAAUCGAUUAUCAUAUUACAUAAUCGAUUAUUUUG